GCAACGAAAAAUCAUUAGAUAACAACUUAAAAUAGCCAAAAUUAACUGAGGAGAAGGGAGACACAUAUUAGCUUAAUUUUAGGUUUAGUUUUCUCUAGAUUUUCUUUUAGUUUUUUGCACUUUUUCUAGGGUUUUCAUUUUCUCUUUUUCUUCCUUAGUUUAGAGUUUAUUUUUUUGUAUUUACUUCUUGUUGUUAAUGUUCUUAGUGUUAGUUAAGAUAGUUAUCACUGUAGCUUAGGUUUAUUUGCACUUUCAGUCAUU
This 261-nucleotide long non-coding RNA is filed under the name Gossypium raimondii (Peruvian cotton). Its description in RNAcentral is "long non-coding RNA (GRAI_LNC001636)". The record is from RNAcentral. Lineage: Eukaryota; Viridiplantae; Streptophyta; Magnoliopsida; Malvales; Malvaceae.